GCAGGGGUCGCCUAGCUCGGCAAUGGCGCCAGCUUGAGGUGCUGGUAGGUUAGUCCUUUCGUGGGUUCAAAUCCCACCCCCUGCA
This 85-nucleotide transfer RNA is filed under the name archaeon. Its description in RNAcentral is "tRNA-Leu". It matches the Rfam family "tRNA". From Rfam's summary of the family: Transfer RNA (tRNA) molecules are approximately 80 nucleotides in length. Their secondary structure includes four short double-helical elements and three loops (D, anti-codon, and T loops). Further hydrogen bonds mediate the characteristic L-shaped molecular structure. tRNAs have two regions of fundamental functional importance: the anti-codon, which is responsible for specific mRNA codon recognition, and the 3' end, to which the tRNAs corresponding amino acid is attached (by aminoacyl-tRNA synthetases). tRNAs cope with the degeneracy of the genetic code in two manners: having more than one tRNA (with a specific anti-codon) for a particular amino acid; and 'wobble' base-pairing, i.e. permitting non-standard base-pairing at the 3rd anti-codon position. The record is from RNAcentral.